GAACGCUGGCGGCAGGCCUAACACAUGCAAGUCGAACGGUAACAGGAAGCAGCUUGCUGCUUCGCUGACGAGUGGCGGACGGGUGAGUAAUGUCUGGGAAACUGCCUGAUGGAGGGGGAUAACUACUGGAAACGGUAGCUAAUACCGCAUAACGUCGCAAGACCAAAGAGGGGGACCUUCGGGCCUCUUGCCAUCGGAUGUGCCCAGAUGGGAUUAGCUAGUAGGUGGGGUAACGGCUCACCUAGGCGACGAUCCCUAGCUGGUCUGAGAGGAUGACCAGCCACACUGGA
This 290-nucleotide ribosomal RNA is filed under the name Enterobacter cloacae. RNAcentral describes it as "partial 16S rRNA". It matches the Rfam family "Bacterial small subunit ribosomal RNA", at positions 31 to 317 of the family's 1533-position model. The record is from RNAcentral. Lineage: Bacteria; Pseudomonadati; Pseudomonadota; Gammaproteobacteria; Enterobacterales; Enterobacteriaceae.